CGGGUGCGGACACGUGUGGCACCCCGCCUUUAUCUGGGGGAUAGCUUUCGAAAAGAAGAUUAUACCCAUAUAUGUUGAAUGGCAUCAUUCGACAUUGAAACUCGGUGGAUAGAAGAUGGCACGCGCCAGAUAAUUAGUGGUGAGUACGGCUCACCAGUCUACGAUCUUUAAGGGGCCUGAAGGUGAUCCCCACACUGGUACUGAACCGGGACCAAACUCUUACGGAAGCAAUGAAGGAAUUAUUUGGACAUGGGUUGAGAGCCUUGAUUCCAGCCCAUCCCCGCGUGAAAGGGACGACUGGCCCUAUGGGUUGUAAACUUUCUUUUGUAUAGGGAUAAACCUACCCUCGUGAGGGUAGCUGAAGGUACUAUACGAAUAAGCACCGGCUAACUCCGUGCCAGCAGCCGCGGUAAUACGGAGGGUGCAAGCGUUAUCCGGAUUUAUUGGGUUUAAAGGGUCCGUAGCGGAUCUGUAAGUCAGUGGUGAAAUCUCACAGCUUAACUGUGAAACUGCCAUUGAUACUGCAGGUCUUGAGUGUUGUUGAAGUAGCUGGAAUAAGUAGUGUAGCGGUGAAAUGCAUAGAUUUUACUUAGAACACCA
This 600-nucleotide ribosomal RNA is filed under the name uncultured bacterium. Its description in RNAcentral is "bacterial SSU rRNA". It matches the Rfam family "Bacterial small subunit ribosomal RNA", at positions 100 to 711 of the family's 1533-position model. The record is from RNAcentral.